This 252-nucleotide ribosomal RNA is filed under the name uncultured bacterium. Its description in RNAcentral is "partial 16S ribosomal RNA". It matches the Rfam family "Bacterial small subunit ribosomal RNA", at positions 524 to 776 of the family's 1533-position model. The record is from RNAcentral.
UACGUAGGGUGCGAGCGUUUCCGGAAUUAUUGGGCGUAAAGAGCUUGUAGGCGGUCUGUCGCGUCUGCUGUGAAAAUCCGGGGCUCAACCCCGGACUUGCAGUGGGUACGGGCAGACUAGAGUGUGGUAGGGGAGACUGGAAUUCCUGGUGUAGCGGUGAAAUGCGCAGAUAUCAGGAGGAACACCGAUGGCGAAGGCAGGUCUCUGGGCCACUACUGACGCUGAGAAGCGAAAGCAUGGGGAGCGAACAGG